RNAcentral lists this ribosomal RNA (245 nucleotides) under uncultured bacterium. RNAcentral describes it as "partial 16S ribosomal RNA". It matches the Rfam family "Bacterial small subunit ribosomal RNA", at positions 524 to 768 of the family's 1533-position model. The record is from RNAcentral.
UACGGAGGGUGCAAACGUUGCUCGGAAUCAUUGGGCGUAAAGCGCGUGUAGGCGGCCGAAUAAGUCAAAUGUGAAAGCCCGGGGCUUAACUCUGGAAGUGCGUUUGAAACUGUUUGGCUUGAGUACGGGAGAGGGUAGUGGAAUUCCCGGUGUAGAGGUGAAAUUCGUAGAUAUCGGGAGGAACAUCAGUGGCGAAGGCGGCUACCUGGACCGAUACUGACGCUGAGACGCGAAAGCGUGGGUAG